CCUACGGGUGGCAGCAGUGAGGAAUAUUGGUCAAUGGGCUUACGCCUGAACCAGCCAAGUCGCGUGAGGGAAGACUGUCCUAUGGGUUGUAAACCUCUUUUGUCAGGGAGCAACGCCGGCUACGUGUAGCCGGACUGAGAGUACCUGAAGAAAAAGCAUCGGCUAACUCCGUGCCAGCAGCCGCGGUAAGACGGAGGAUGCGAGCGUUAUCCGGAUUUAUUGGGUUGAAAGGGGGCGUAGGUUGGUUUUUAAGUCAGCGGUGAAAGUUUGUGGCUCAACCAUAAAAUUGCCGUUGAAACUGGAAGACUUGAGUGUGUUUGAGGUAGGCGGAAUGCGUGGUGUAGCGGUGAAAUGCAUAGAUAUCACGCAGAACUCCGAUUGCGAAGGCAGCUUACUAAGCCAUAACUGACACUGAGGCACGAAAGCGUGGGGAUCAAACAGGAUUAGAUACCCCAGUAGUC
RNAcentral lists this ribosomal RNA (461 nucleotides) under uncultured bacterium. RNAcentral's name for it is "partial 16S ribosomal RNA". It matches the Rfam family "Bacterial small subunit ribosomal RNA", at positions 338 to 795 of the family's 1533-position model. The record is from RNAcentral.